AUUGAACGCUGGCGGUAUGCUUAACACAUGCAAGUCGAACGGUAACAGGUCUUCGGGCGCUGACGAGUGGCGGACGGGUGAGUAACGCGUAGGAAUCUGCCUUAUAGUGGGGGACAACGUGGGGAAACCCACGCUAAUACCGCAUACGCCCUACGGGGGAAAGCGGGGGAUCGUAAGACCUCGCGCUAUGAGAUGAGCCUAAGUCCGAUUAGCUAGUUGGUAGGGUAAAGGCCUACCAAGGCGACGAUCGGUAGCUGGUCUGAGAGGAUGAUCAGCCACACUGGGACUGAGACACGGCCCAGACUCCUACGGGUGGCUG
RNAcentral lists this ribosomal RNA (319 nucleotides) under uncultured Pseudomonadota bacterium. RNAcentral's name for it is "bacterial SSU rRNA". It matches the Rfam family "Bacterial small subunit ribosomal RNA", at positions 30 to 351 of the family's 1533-position model. Lineage: Bacteria; Pseudomonadati; Pseudomonadota. The record is from RNAcentral.